AAGAGGGGGAGUGCUUUUUCUUACAACACAAAUGAUGAGAGACUAUUACUGUUGUUGUCUUGUACCUUCAGGUUUUCAGAGGAGUCGGUGAUUUCUAACAUUACAAGAAAGAAAGAAGGCUGGAGUGGAAGUAACUACCACUGACAUCCACCAGGCUGAUAGACCACAGAUGCAGCUAUGGCUCCAGAUAUAGAUUUACUCCCUACCCUCUUCCACCCUGCUCUGGACCCCCAGAACCUCACCUGUGUGGACCACAUCAACAUCCUUCCUGGCCCUCUGGUUUCCCUUUUGGUUCAGCCAAUGUGGAACACCAGAAGGAGACUGAUGUGUAUGUGAUCUUCAAGAAUAAGCAAGCUGCCUUUUCUCUGGAGUAGGGAGGGGAUCAGCCAGGAUUGAGACCUAGUUUGCUGUUUGCAGAGACAUGCCUGAGGGAAGGUACGGACCCUUCCUGUUCAUCGGUGAAGCUGAGUAGGCCCAGAUUCCUUUGCUGUAGCAGGACACACCUUCUGUGGACUCAGAUGAGAGCCAGUCGGGGACUGGACAGAUUUGUAUGCAAAGGAUCCUUCCAUGGUCUGAGCCCUAAGGCCUGUGCUAGUCCCUCUGGGUGAAGAGGAUUUAGAUAUUACCCCAGGAAAGAGCUGCAGGCACAUGUCCUUGUUGAAUCUUCUCUGUGCUCUUCUGUCUUCAUUAAGCAAGGGUGAAAAUGUACAUUUGUGUAGUCAUUUUCCUCUUACUGGAUUCUCAGCAGGGCUGCCAUGUGCUCCCCAGUAAAUCUUCAAAAAGCAAAUAUAUGUGGCCUUCCUCCAGAAGUUGCCUCUCCACAAUGGAUAGGAAAGUUAGAAGGUAAAAGAGGGUAAAGUCUCAGACUUACACAAGGCCCUUUUCAUCUUCUAUCCUCUUCAGUAUCUUCCUGUCACUUGUCUAGUCUCUGGCAAGUUAUGAGGCAACAGCAAAACCUAUGGAUUCUCUAAGAACUGACCCGUGUGAGGGCGCCUGGGUGGCUCAGUCGGUUAAGCGUCUGACUUCUGCUCAAGUCAU
Molecule: long non-coding RNA, 1038 nt
Organism: Felis catus (domestic cat)
Lineage: Eukaryota; Metazoa; Chordata; Mammalia; Carnivora; Felidae
Exons: 3
Source: RefSeq, a predicted model, not a curated record